This 479-nucleotide ribosomal RNA is filed under the name uncultured bacterium. RNAcentral describes it as "partial 16S ribosomal RNA". It matches the Rfam family "Bacterial small subunit ribosomal RNA", at positions 28 to 523 of the family's 1533-position model. The record is from RNAcentral.
GACGAACGCUGGCGGCGUGCUUAACACAUGCAAGUCGAGCGAUGAAGCACCUUCGGGUGUGAAUUAGCGGCGAACGGGUGAGGAACACGUGAGAAAUCUGCCUUCAACUCUGGGAUAACUCCGGGAAACCGGGGCUAAUACCGGAUAUGAGCCUUGAUCGCAUGAUCAGGGCUGGAAAGUUUUUCGGUUGAAGAUGAUCUCGCGGCCUAUCAGCUUGUUGGUGAGGUAGUGGCUCACCAAGGCGACGACGGGUAGCCGGCCUGAGAGGGCGACCGGCCACACUGGGACUGAGACACGGCCCAGACUCCUACGGGAGGCAGCAGUGGGGAAUAUUGCACAAUGGGCGCAAGCCUGAUGCAGCAACGCCGCGUGAGGGAUGACGGCCUUCGGGUUGUAAACCUCUUUUAGCAGGGAAGAAGCGAAAGUGACGGUACCUGCAGAAAAAGCACCGGCUAACUACGUGCCAGCAGCCGCGGUAA